CCAAAUACAACGGCCGAAAGGCCUGCCCGAGGGGUGCCUUGUGUUCCCCGACGGUAAACCCUUUGUGAAAACCCCCUUGUUUGCUUCGGCGGCACCUUCCCCCUAUUGGGGGGAAGGGUCAGCCCGCCGACGGCGCUAUUUGAAACCCUUGAAGCAAUGAAGAACUUUGUCUGAACCAAUGGUCGAAUGACUAUA
This 195-nucleotide unclassified non-coding RNA is filed under the name uncultured fungus. RNAcentral describes it as "sequence contains ITS1, 5.8S rRNA gene". Lineage: Eukaryota; Fungi. The record is from RNAcentral.